GUUUCCGUAGUGUCAGUGUUAUCACGUUCGCCUCACACGCGAAAGGUCCCCGGUUCGAGACCGGGCGGAAACA
Molecule: non-coding RNA, 73 nt
Organism: Entelurus aequoreus (snake pipefish)
Lineage: Eukaryota; Metazoa; Chordata; Actinopteri; Syngnathiformes; Syngnathidae
Source: the annotation of a RefSeq genome assembly